UUGAACAACCGAAGUCAAGCAUCAUUGGGCGCGGUCAGUACUUGGGUGGGUGACCACCUGGGAACACCGCAUGCCGUU
This is a non-coding RNA of Caerostris darwini, 78 nucleotides long. NCBI's taxonomy places the organism in Eukaryota, Metazoa, Arthropoda, Arachnida, Araneae, Araneidae. The record is from the annotation of a GenBank genome assembly.